Molecule: ribosomal RNA, 328 nt
Filed under: uncultured bacterium
Lineage: Bacteria
Description: bacterial SSU rRNA
Rfam family: Bacterial small subunit ribosomal RNA
Source: RNAcentral
GGUGUAGGGUUGAAAGAUGGUUUCGGCUAUCACUUUAGGAUGGACCCGCGGUGCAUUAGUUAGUUGGUGAGGUAAAGGCUCACCAAGACCGUGAUGCAUAGCCGACCUGAGAGGGUAAUCGGCCACACUGGGACUGAGACACGGCCCAGACUCCUACGGGAGGCAGCAGUAGGGAAUCUUCCACAAUGGACGAAAGUAUGAUGGAGCAAACGCCGCGUGAGUGAAGAAGGUUUCGGAUCGUAAACUCUGUUGUUGGAGAAGAAUGUAUCUGAUAGUAACUGAUCAGGUAGUGACGGUAUCCAACCAGAAAGCCACGGCUAACUACGUG